GAUGAGCGCUGGCGGCGUGCCUAACACAUGCAAGUCGAACGAAGCUUGACGGAUGAUUUCUUCGGAAUGAAACCAGAUAUGACUUAGUGGCGGACGGGUGAGUAACACGUGAGCAACCUGCCUUUCAGAGGGGGAUAACGGCUGGAAACGGUCGCUAAUACCGCAUGAUGUGUUCGGAUGGCAUCAUCUGAACAUCAAAGAUUUAUCGCUGAAAGAUGGGCUCGCGUCUGAUUAGAUAGUUGGUGGGGUAACGGCCUACCAAGUCUACGAUCAGUAGCCGGACUGAGAGGUUGAACGGCCACAUUGGGACUGAGAUACGGCCCAGACUCCUACGGGAGGCAGCAGUGGGGAAUAUUGCACAAUGGGGGAAACCCUGAUGCAGCAACGCCGCGUGAAGGAUGACGGUUUUCGGAUUGUAAACUUCUUUUCUUAGUGACGAAGACAGUGACGGUAGCUAAGGAAUAAGCAUCGGCUAACUACGUG
RNAcentral lists this ribosomal RNA (483 nucleotides) under uncultured bacterium. RNAcentral's name for it is "partial 16S ribosomal RNA". It matches the Rfam family "Bacterial small subunit ribosomal RNA", at positions 28 to 507 of the family's 1533-position model. The record is from RNAcentral.